UGAGGAAUAUUGGUCAAUGGCCGGAAGGCUGAACCAGCCAAGUAGCGUGCAGGAAGACUGCCUUAUGGGUUGUAAACUGCUUUUUUACGGGAAUAAUUAUGAUCACGUGUGAUUAUUUGCAUGUACCGUAAGAAUAAGGAUCGGCUAACUCCGUGCCAGCAGCCGCGGUAAUACGGAGGAUCCUAGUGUUAUCCGGAUUUAUUGGGUUUAAAGGGAGCGUAGGCGGGAGGUCAAGUCAGCUGUGAAAUGUAUCUGCUUAACGGGUACACUGCAGUUGAAACUGGUUUUCUUGAGUGCGUAAGAGGCAGGCGGAAUUCGUUGUGUAGCGGUGAAAUGCUUAGAUAUGACGAGGAACUCCUAUUGCGAAGGCAGCUUGCUGGGUCGUUACUGACGCUGAUGCUCGAAGGUGCGGGGAUCAAACAGG
This 424-nucleotide ribosomal RNA is filed under the name uncultured bacterium. Its description in RNAcentral is "bacterial SSU rRNA". It matches the Rfam family "Bacterial small subunit ribosomal RNA", at positions 355 to 776 of the family's 1533-position model. The record is from RNAcentral.